ACGGCCAUAUCACGUUGAAACACCGGUUCCCGUACUAUCAGCGAAGUUAAGCAACGUAGAGCAUGGUCAGCACCUAGAUGGGUGCCCGUUUGAAUAUACCAAUUGCUGUCA
This is a non-coding RNA of Acanthosepion pharaonis, 111 nucleotides long. The record is from the annotation of a GenBank genome assembly. Lineage: Eukaryota; Metazoa; Mollusca; Cephalopoda; Sepiida; Sepiidae.